GGCUGGUCUGAGGGCAGUAGUAUUUACAAUUAAUUGAUCACAACCAGUUACAGAUUUCUUUGUUCCUUCUCCACUCCCGCUGCUUCACUUGACUAGCCUAAA
Nomascus leucogenys (northern white-cheeked gibbon) is the source of this 102-nucleotide unclassified non-coding RNA. It matches the Rfam family "Y RNA". From Rfam's summary of the family: Y RNAs are components of the Ro ribonucleoprotein particle (Ro RNP), in association with Ro60 and La proteins. The Y RNAs and Ro60 and La proteins are well conserved, but the function of the Ro RNP is not known. In humans the RNA component can be one of four small RNAs -- hY1, hY3, hY4 and hY5. The record is from Ensembl. Lineage: Eukaryota; Metazoa; Chordata; Mammalia; Primates; Hylobatidae.